This 467-nucleotide ribosomal RNA is filed under the name uncultured bacterium. RNAcentral describes it as "partial 16S ribosomal RNA". It matches the Rfam family "Bacterial small subunit ribosomal RNA", at positions 28 to 507 of the family's 1533-position model. The record is from RNAcentral.
GAUGAACGCUGGCGGCGUGCUUAACACAUGCAGGUCGAACGAUGAAGCCCAGCUUGCUGGGUGGAUUAGUGGCGAACGGGUGAGUAACACGUGAGCAACCUGCCCCUGACUCUGGGAUAAGCGCUGGAAACGGCGUCUAAUACUGGAUAUGUCCCGUUACCGCAUGGUGUGCGGGUGGAAAGAUUUUUCGGUUGGGGAUGGGCUCGCGGCCUAUCAGCUUGUUGGUGAGGUAAUGGCUCACCAAGGCGUCGACGGGUAGCCGGCCUGAGAGGGUGACCGGCCACACUGGGACUGAGACACGGCCCAGACUCCUACGGGAGGCAGCAGUGGGGAAUAUUGCACAAUGGGCGGAAGCCUGAUGCAGCAACGCCGCGUGAGGGAUGACGGCCUUCGGGUUGUAAACCUCUUUUAGCAGGGAAGAAGCGAAAGUGACGGUACCUGCAGAAAAAGCACCGGCUAACUACGUG